UAUGUUUUAUUAUAAUAUGUAUAAAAGUUUUUGAUACUUUAGGAAAUAGUUUAAUACUAUUAAACAUAG
This 69-nucleotide transfer RNA is filed under the name Euwallacea similis. Its description in RNAcentral is "tRNA-Gln". Lineage: Eukaryota; Metazoa; Arthropoda; Insecta; Coleoptera; Curculionidae. The record is from RNAcentral.